GGCUUGUUGGUCUAGGGAUAUGAUUCUCGCUUUGAGUGCGAGAGGUCCCGGGUUCAAAUCCCGGAUGAGCCC
This 72-nucleotide transfer RNA is filed under the name Danionella translucida. It matches the Rfam family "tRNA". Rfam says of the family: Transfer RNA (tRNA) molecules are approximately 80 nucleotides in length. Their secondary structure includes four short double-helical elements and three loops (D, anti-codon, and T loops). RNAcentral also lists the same sequence under 1 other name. The record is from Rfam by way of RNAcentral. Lineage: Eukaryota; Metazoa; Chordata; Actinopteri; Cypriniformes; Danionidae.